GACGAACGCUGGCGGCGUGGAUUAGGCAUGCAAGUCGGACGGUAGGGCUUUAUCGUAAGAUAGAGUUUGAGAGUGGCGAACGGGUGAGUAACACGUAGGAAUCUACCCUUAAGACGGGGACAACCCAGGGAAACUUGGGCUAAUACCGGAUGAGAGUGCGAGAGAUUGCAUUUAAAAAGGAUGGCGAAAGUUGUCGCUUAGGGAUGAGCCUGCGGUCUAUUAGUUAGUUGGUGAGGUAAGAGCUCACCAAGGCGAUGAUAGAUAGGCGGCCUUAACGGGUGGUCGCCCACACUGGGAUUGAGAUACGGCCCAGACUCCUACGGGAGGCAGCAGUCGAGAAUAGUCUACAAUGGCCGGAAGGCUGAUAGUGCGACGCCGCGUGAACGAGGGAGCCCUUCGGGUGUAAAGUUCUUUUAGUAGGGAAGAAGCGCAAGUGACGGUACCUGCAGAAAAGCACCGGCUAACUACGUGCCAGCAGCCGCGGUAAGCAUACUCGUA
This 498-nucleotide ribosomal RNA is filed under the name uncultured bacterium. Its description in RNAcentral is "bacterial SSU rRNA". It matches the Rfam family "Bacterial small subunit ribosomal RNA", at positions 28 to 529 of the family's 1533-position model. The record is from RNAcentral.